GAAAUAUCUUUGUAGCUUUAGGAAAAGAAAUCAAAAGAGAUUCUAUGAAUAGCGUGAGCGAAAGUAGAAGAGCCUAAAAAGUAAAACGGUAUAUAAACUGUUUGAACAAAAUGGGGAACCUUCCUCAAAGGCUAAAUAUGAUACAUAAGCGAUAGUAAAAAGUACCGUGAGGGAACAAAACAAAAAUAGUAAUUUUAUAAGCAGUUCGAAAAAAAGAACGUACCUUUUGCAUAAUGGGUCACCAAGUUAACAUUAGAUGCGAGCUACAAAAGUAUGCGUAGUUAAACCGAACGUUAAAAUAACGAAAAGUGUCUAAAGUUAGACCCGAAGCCAGGUGAUUUUACCAUGAUCAGGAUUAUAAAAGUCCGAACGGGUGAUUGUAGCAAAAAUCUCCGAAGAAUUGUGGUAGGUGUAGUGAAAGACAACACUGACUUGGAUAGCUGGUUUUCUGCGAAACCUAUAAUAGUAGGCAAUUUAAAUAAAUAUCUUAGCAGGUACAGAAUUUAAUCUCAGACAAUUUCGUAUUGUACAAAUUGGGGGAUCAUGAAGGUUUUAUCAGUGAGUAUGCAGACUCGGAAUGGCAAAGAUAUAUUUUAAAUGAUCAGACAUAGAAUGAUAAGGUUGUAUGUCGAAAGGGAAACAGCCCAGAACAAGAGUUAAGGUUCCUAAAUUAUUAGUUAAGUGAAAUUAAGAAGGUUUUUAUUAAAGUCGACAAGGAGAUAGGCUUAGAAGCAGCCAUAAUUUUAUGACCUCGUAACAGAGCGCUUGUUAAGUUAUAAAAGCAUCGAAAAUUUAACGGAUCUAAACAAUAUACCGAAACCUUGUCCAUAAUUUCUCUAAUUUAUUAGAAUUUUAUGGGGUAGCAGAACGUUGAGCUAAAUUAUGAGUUUUAUUUUGUAAAUAAAAUUAUAAGGAUUUAACUCAAGCGAGAAUGGUGACAUGAGUAACGAAAAGAAAUUUUAUAUUUCCGCCUAAAGCUUAUGGAUAGAUUUAAGUAACGGCCUCUAAGUUUGAAUAUCUAAAGAUACAAACGAUGAGUAAAUCUUUAUUACUAAGGACAACAUUUUAGUGAAAAAUGUGCUGGAAAAAUAGUAAAUAAAAUAACCGUACCUAGAAACUGAAACAAGUAAGCUAGUAGAGAAUACGAAGGCGUAAAUGAGCUAACAAUCAUAAAGGAACUCGGCAAAUUGACUACCGUAACUUCGGAAUAAGGAGGGCUCAUUAUUCUCGAUUAAUAUCGAGUAAAGAGGAAGAAGCAUGAAAUAAUGUUGUACGACUGUUUAAUUAAAACACAGCACUUUGCUGAAAGAUUAAAAAUCUAUGUAUAAAGUGUGAUAUCUGCCCGGUGCCGGCUGGUUAACAGAGAUAAUUCUAUAUGUUACUAUAGGAUGUCGACGGAAACCCCGGUUAAAGGCGGCCUUAACGUGAGGGUCCUAAGGUAGCGAAAUGCCUUGGCCGUUAAAUGCGGUCUUGCAUGAAUGGUGUAACGAUACAACAGCUGUCUCUAUGAUUGACUCAGUGAAAUUGGAAUAGCUGUGCAGAUACAGCUUACCUCUAGUUAGACGAGAAGACCCUAUGCAGCUUUACUGUCACUAAUUAUAGAAUAUGAAAAAUGAUUUUCAGUAUAUAAGGUAAUAGAUUAUGUGAUCAUGAGAAACCUUUAUUUCUUUUUCAUAUGAAUGAAUUGAUUUACGGAAUUAAGUAGUUUGGUUUUAAUGUGGCUUUACUGAGCUUUCUUUUAUACAUUAAUUCUUUACUUUAAAUCACCGUAGCUUUUUUAAGUAAAUCAACCUAGUUCAGCUUAUUUCCUUUUGUGGAAAUAGGUACCCUUUGGUAAGGAACUAUCGCUAGGGGACAGUUUAUGUGGGGCACAGACCCUGUAAAGAGUAAACAGGAGUGUCUAAAAAUAUAAUUUAUUUUGUUUGCAAUUUUAAGUAGUUUUACUAUUUUUAAUCGUAUUCACUUAUUUAUAUAUACAAUUGCGUAUAUAUAUUUAAUAUU
Molecule: ribosomal RNA, 2001 nt
Filed under: Casuarina equisetifolia
Lineage: Eukaryota; Viridiplantae; Streptophyta; Magnoliopsida; Fagales; Casuarinaceae
Description: bacterial LSU rRNA
Rfam family: Bacterial large subunit ribosomal RNA
Source: RNAcentral